GAUGAACGCUGGCGGCGUGCCUAAUACAUGCAAGUCGAGCGAACGGACGUGAAGCUUGCUUCUCUGAUGUUAGCGGCGGACGGGUGAGUAACACGUGGAUAACCUACCUAUAAGACUGGGAUAACUUCGGGAAACCGUAGCUAAUACCGGAUAAUAUUUUGAACCGCAUGGUUCAAAAGUGAAAGACGGUCUUGCUGUCACUUAUAGAUGGAUCCGCGCUGCAUUAGCUAGUUGGUAAGGUAACGGCUUACCAAGGCAACGAUGCAUAGCCGACCUGAGAGAGUGAUCGGCCACACUGGAACUGAGACACGGUCCAGACUCCUACGGGAGGCAGCAGUAGGGAAUCUUCCGCAAAGGGCGAAAGCCUGACGGAGCAACGCCGCGUGAGUGAUGAAGGUCUUCGGAGCGUAAAACUCUGUUAUUAGGGAAGAACAUAUGUGUAAGUAACUGUGCACAUCUUGACGGUACCUAAUCAGAAAGCCACGGCUAACUACGUG
RNAcentral lists this ribosomal RNA (497 nucleotides) under uncultured bacterium. RNAcentral describes it as "partial 16S ribosomal RNA". It matches the Rfam family "Bacterial small subunit ribosomal RNA", at positions 28 to 507 of the family's 1533-position model. The record is from RNAcentral.